CCUACGGGAGGCAGCAGUGGGGAAUAUUGCGCAAUGGGCGAAAGCCUGACGCAGCGACGCCGCGUGAGGGAUGAAGGUCUUCGGAUCGUAAACCUCUGUCAGCAGGGAAGAACGGUCACUGUGCUAAUCAGCAGUGAAUUGACGGUACCUGCAAAGGAAGCACCGGCUAACUCCGUGCCAGCCGCCGCGGUAAUACGGAGGGUGCGAGCGUUAGUCGGAAUUACUGGGCGUAAAGCGCUCGUAGGCGGUAUGUCAAGUCAAGGGUGAAAUCCCCGCGCUCAACGUGGGAACUGCCUUUGAAACUGGCAAACUGGAGUGUGUGAGAGGAGAGGGGAAUUCCAGGUGUAGGAGUGAAAUCCGUAGAUAUCUGGAGGAACAUCAGUGGCGAAGGCGACUAUCUGGCACAUAACUGACGCUGAGGAGCGAAAGCGUGGGUAGCAAACAGGAUUAGAUACCCGUGUAGUC
This 465-nucleotide ribosomal RNA is filed under the name uncultured bacterium. RNAcentral's name for it is "partial 16S ribosomal RNA". It matches the Rfam family "Bacterial small subunit ribosomal RNA", at positions 338 to 795 of the family's 1533-position model. The record is from RNAcentral.